RNAcentral lists this long non-coding RNA (2004 nucleotides) under Sus scrofa (pig). Its description in RNAcentral is "lncRNA (ENSSSCG00025037841.1)". The record is from RNAcentral. Lineage: Eukaryota; Metazoa; Chordata; Mammalia; Artiodactyla; Suidae.
CCACGCUCCCCUGUCCUGUAAGAACGAGCCAACCCAGCUUCCUAGGGAUUCGGAGCUUGGAUGUCUUCUGUCACAUCUGCAGAUUUUUUUUUUUUUUUCAAGUGUCGGGAACCAUAAAAACAUGGCAUGAACUGGGUGCAACCAGUCCCCCUGCAGUUUUCCUUGGGAUCAGCUAUGCUUCCUCAAUGGAAAGAGUUGGAGAUAAAAGCCAUACUUUGCAUGGGUUGUCUGUAAGACUUCAAAAAUUAAUUGAGAAAGACAGAUGGUGCUUAGGAGUUAAGCAUGAUAUCAGUCACAGUGUGUUCAAGGAGAUCUCAUAAAUGCUUUAGACCACAAUUAUAGGACAUUAAGUACUAGACUUUCUGUUUGGACCCAAGGGGCCUGUCUCAUGGAUAAUGAUGGUUCGUUCAUUCUGCACCUCCAGAAGACUAAAAUUUGCCAGAAGCUAGAACUCAAUCCCUCUGCCGCUUCUCAUCCAAAAUUAUUUCUAGCUACAUUAUCCAGUAGAGCUUUUCAGAGGUUCUAUAGUGAAAUAAAACGCCAACACAAAAAUGAUAUUCAAAUAAUUAAAGUGCCAGCAAAUACAAAUCCUCUCACAAGACCUAAUCCAAAGAUGUUAAAAUCUAAAAUAAUUAACAUCCAAACUUAAAUUUCCUUGAGCUUUUGAGUUAAAAACCAAAGUACUCUUUUUUUCUUUUCUUUUUUUUUUUUUUUUUUUAGGGACGCACUCACAACAUAUGAAAGUUCCCAAGCUAGGGGUCAAACUGGAGCUGUGGCUGCCAGCCACAGUCACAGCAGUGCAGAAUCCGAGCCAUGUCUUUGACCUACGCCGGAGUUCACAGCAAUGCUGGAGGCCAGGGAUAGAACCCGCAUCCUCAUGGAUACUAGUCAGAUUUGUUUCCGCUGUGCCACAGUGGGAACUCUAAAAACCAAAGUACUAAUGGCCACCUUCGAUCUCUCCAAUUUCCUCCUUUGUUCUGUCUGAGCAGACGAGACUCUUGAUGUGCUGGGUGCUGGGGAGAGAGGGUUCUGCUCGGCAUCUGCAGAGUGGGCUGUUUUCUGUUGGAACAAAUAUGGCUCCUUGAGCUCCAAGAAGGUUGGGGUUGUUCAAUAGCAUCUCUCAUGUGUGCUUUAGUUUUUCGCGAAAUGUAACUGAACAAAGAGUAAGUGGACCCAUAAUGGUCUCAAGUCAUUGACCCCACACCCUUGACAUCUAGAAAAAUGAGCCAAUCCCUAGCCCCUGGACAAUUGUCCCAGGCAAAACUUUGUCUCCAUGACCUAAUUUAAUUUUGCCAAAUGCCACAUCAAGAAUUGUAAAAAAAAAAAAAAAAAAAAAAAGGCCUGAGAUUUGACACUGCAGGUUCAUGCAUGCUAGUAGGAGACAUGAGAUUCCUGGGUCAGAGACAAAUGACUUUAUUACUCAUGACACAGCUAGUAGCUUUUGGCUUUCUCUAAUCCCAGUUUAGAGCCUCAUGUUUGCAUAAUUCCCACUCCCUCCACCCCCAAAUCCUAAGGGGUGAUGCCAAGGGGCUCAGGUAGACACACACACAGGGGAUUUGCAUCACAGCUGAGGAACCCUGAGCGUAGGCAACCUGAAUCUUUUAUGAUGGGCUGGAAGCAAACUUAACUGCCCUUUGCUCCAAAAAGAGACAUUAUCUUUAUUACACUGGACAGUAAACAAACCGGCCCCUUCCUUCUAAGACACUCUCUAAAGUUCAAGGCUAUUCACCCAAUAAACAUCCUUGAAGAGCUAGAUAAUCCAGAAUAAAAGCAGCCUAUGCCCCUUGGUUAACAAAUCUGACUAGGAACCAUGAGGUUGCGGGUUCGGUCCCUGCCCUUGCUCAGUGGGUUAACGAUCUGGCGUUGCCUGUGGUGUAGGUUGCAGACACGGAUCGGAUCCCGCGUUGCUGUGGCUCUGGCGUAGGCCUGUGGCUGCAGCUCCGAUUCAACCCCUAGCCUGGGAACCUCCAUAUGCCUCGGGAGCAGCCCUAGAAAAGGCAAAAA